Molecule: microRNA, 23 nt
Filed under: Sarcophilus harrisii (Tasmanian devil)
Lineage: Eukaryota; Metazoa; Chordata; Mammalia; Dasyuromorphia; Dasyuridae
Description: Sha-Mir-7398-o5_5p* (star (passenger))
Source: RNAcentral
UGUGUAGAGGCAUGAAACAUGCU